Molecule: long non-coding RNA, 2011 nt
Filed under: Panax ginseng (ginseng)
Lineage: Eukaryota; Viridiplantae; Streptophyta; Magnoliopsida; Apiales; Araliaceae
Description: long non-coding RNA (PGIN_LNC001840)
Source: RNAcentral
ACACUUAAAAAAAAUCUUUAAAAAUCUUAAUUGAAUACACCCCUCCAUCUCAUUCAAAUCACUCUCUCUCUCUCUAACAAUAGACCCAGCUGCUCUCGCCUCUCUGUCUCCCAAGAUCGCCGAUUUUAGGAAAAUCUGCUGGAGCUCCGGCCUAAAACUCCGGCGACGCAAACGGCAAGACCCCGACCGACGCAUUCGCAAGGUAUUUUCUAAUUUUCUGUUGCAACCAAAUGAACGAAUCCUAGGGUUCAUUUCAGGGGUUUUGAUUUCGUCAAACCCAUUAAGCUUCUUGAGAGGAAAUUAGUAACUCUGUUGGUUUUCUUGGUUUUGAUUUUCUAAUGUGAUGAUUUAUGGUGUGGAUAACCUGUUUAGUAUAAUAUGGCUCUUUGAUUUGAUAAUUGUGAAGAAAUUUUGCUUUGAUAAUUUUGGAGGUCUUUGCAUAUAUGUACUUAUAUUUUCGGAUGUUUCAUGUUACAACAUUAAUUUUUUAGUGUAAAGUAUUUUAAUUUUAUUUAUUGUUGGGUUUGCAGAAUGCAGCAGUGUCUACUUUUCCUGCUCAACAUGCUCAAGACAGGUAUUCUAGGACUAAUCUCAUCUGAUACAACAAGACUCUACAUGACAGCAAAAAAAUAUAAGUAUCUAUAGCCAUGACAACAUAAUCAUUCCACAAAGUUGUAAUUUUCACAACUGAAAAAUUACCCAAUGAGACUAGUAGUUCAUUAUUUGCACCAUAGUCAAUGUAUUACUUUUAUUUGUUUACUUUUAUUUUUAUUAUUUUAGGAGAAUCAAAGAGUUGGUUGGCUUUUGAAUCUCAAUAUUGUUAUUAGGAUGAUAAAAUUUCCAAGAUAUCACCUGCAAAUAUAAUGGCACUUGCAAGUUGACUUUAAUUAAACUGAUAAUUUUCUACUUAUAUUUUUCAGAUUAAGCAAUCGUUUUGUAUUGGGUAAUGAUUGUCUAAACAAUUUAGCAAAAAAAAAAAGAUUGUCAUUGGAUUAUUUGCAGUUAAUAGGAGUUAGUAUUUACCACACAUUUUGAACAGUAAUAUUUGCGGACCAUCGAAGAUUAGUGCACUUUGUUGGGUUUAAAGUAGCUAGUUAUCUUGCAGAUGUCAUGUUCACAAAUUACUAGAUUUUUCGCUCAAUUUACAUGCUUUAACAUUUUUUACAUUCACUUUGUAGAAAACAUGUUAGAUUUUCUUUAAAAAAAACUGAAGAUGGACUCUUUAACCAUUUGGGUAUCUUUCUAUAGUGUAACACUUUUGUUCAUGUGUAAUGAUCUGUGGAUUACCAACUGUGGCUUGUCUCUAAAACAUUGCAAUCUUAUGGUGGUUUUGGCAGAUACGGUUCAACAAAUAAAUGUCUACUUCAAGCAACAUGAGCAUUCAAACUCAUGAUACACGAUUUCGAAACAAGAGCUGCUAUGAGAAUAUCUGAAUCAGAGAAGAAUCCUGGAAAGCUCUACUAUGACUGUCCAAGGGAGAAGGAUAAAGGAAAAUGUGGGCUAGCCUUGGUAGUGUCGGUCAUGACACUUGUCAAGUGAUUGUAAUGAUGGUCUUCUACUAUUAUUUAAUUUUUCCUGUUUUCUUUCGUUUAAUGAUGGUUGUUUGUUCUUGUCUUUGAUGGCUUUUAAUUUGAUAGCAUUUUGUGUGUGCGUAAAUGGAAUGUCAUCGGCAUUUCCCUUAUUUGUUCACACUUUCUGUACGUAAAUGAAUGAUAAGGAAAGUGAUGGAGCCAUGAUGGACUAAUUAGAAACUAAGUUUUUUCAGAAUAUGGAGUUAUUUCAUAUGUUUGGCGUAAGUUAUAGACUUCUUUGUGGAUAUACUGUGUACUCGGUUCUCUUAAAUUUAACACCACAAUUUUGCUGAGGAUAGAUUGGUCGAAUGGGAAAGGUAUAAUGAUAUUCAACUUUUUAAAACCAUCUUGGUAUAAGAUGUUCAAUAACCAUCUUGGUUAACAUUUUAAUGCAGGUUUUCAUCAAUCAAUUCAUUUCCUCUUAACAUAUUAAUGCAGGU